GCGGGAGUGGCGAAAUUGGCAGACGCACCAGACUUAGGAUCUGGCGCCGCAAGGCGUGGAGGUUCAAGUCCUCUCUUCCGCA
RNAcentral lists this transfer RNA (82 nucleotides) under Helicobacter cholecystus. It matches the Rfam family "tRNA". From Rfam's summary of the family: Transfer RNA (tRNA) molecules are approximately 80 nucleotides in length. Lineage: Bacteria; Pseudomonadati; Campylobacterota; Epsilonproteobacteria; Campylobacterales; Helicobacteraceae. The record is from Rfam by way of RNAcentral. RNAcentral also lists the same sequence under 1 other name.